UACUACUACGUCGCCGAGUACAAG
Molecule: non-coding RNA, 24 nt
Filed under: Mus musculus (house mouse)
Lineage: Eukaryota; Metazoa; Chordata; Mammalia; Rodentia; Muridae
Source: RNAcentral